AUUAAGGAUUUGUCUUUGCCAUCGACAGCCUUAAGUCGAUAAUUCUUUACUGUGCUGUGAUAGAGCAGCAUAUCAGUGCAGACAAGGCCGUAACACUAGCUUGUCUCGAAGAAGAGUUUCAACUGAAGUUCUGGGGACGGGUUACAACAAAAAUUCAUUUUAUUUAAAACAUUUUCUUCUUCUUUCACAACAAAUUCAAUCCAAAAUACUGAGCUUUUUUUUGGCCAAAUGUGCCUUCAGGAUCACCAUAUAUUGUGGCCGUCUGAGCAGGGGUUGAGAAGAUUCUCAACGAUUUCGUGUAGGUCAUUAUAGCCGGAGCAGAAAAGGUCAAUUCUUAGUUCUAGAUUCGUCCCAAAAUCACACUCAUAUGGAGCGAUAAUUGAAGUUGUUAUGAUGGGCUGCAAUUUGUCCAUGACUAUCUCUAUAAGGACUCGCCUGGCUUGUCCAAAGCACUGAGGAUCUUCUUGAUGUUGGCAUCGCUGUCCAUAGCACACUGUUCUUGUUUUAAUUACUGGAACAACGAUUCCCACAUUGUGUCGUCACGCCACCAGCCAUAGUGAAUCCCCGUUCCUCGCUUAACAAAGAGCGUUUGAAACUCUGGAGGAUCAUAAAAGAACCGCCAGUGCUCUUAUUCUCGACGUUGGUAAAUUUUCUUCCAUAUUCUGUAAAUAAAAAACAAAAAGCAAUCAUUCUUAUUUUGUAAGGAUUUUGUUAAAAUAAUAUUACUUACCACGACCAAAUUUAUUUCAAAAUGAACUAUUUGUUUUGGUUUUUUUUUUGAGAGGUUUUAUAUAAAACUUGUGGUGUACAAAAACUUGUUGUUUACCAAACAUGUGUGGGAAAACUUGAGUUUUCAAUGUAGGUUUUCGGCCAAAAUCAAUAAUUUCACGAAAACCGGAUUUUUGACUUGGUGUGAAAAACCUAUAAAAGCGACUGGUAAUAUAAAGUAUUAAAAUAAAGAGAGGAGUAAAUUAUUUUUGUUCUUUAUUCUAUUAAAAUAGUUCUUUAUCAAAUUCAAACGAUGGUGGUAUUUUUUUAAAUUUGUAAAGUGGGAAGAGGGUGCGUAGUCGUAGAUAUGUAUUAAAGUGUAGGAAGCAGAAUUGUAAGGAAUUGUUUAGGCCGGUAGGUACUUUAUCCAGAGCAGACGUCUCAAAAGCUUUGGGAAGUAUUAAUUUAACUCAUCCAAUUGUAUGAUAUAUAAGUAAGCAUUACAUUACACUUGUAUGGUACCUACAUACAUAUACUUAUAUCGCAUUACGCUUAUUUUUUUUACAAAUAAGAGCAGCUCUGCUUAAAAAGUGUUUUCCAAAUUGCUUACCAAAGUGCCUCCUUUGACCUAGUCUACUAGUUAGUUUUUAAAGUGUAAUAAACUUCAAACUCAGAAGUUUACUUAUCCAACUUCUACCUUCAAUUUACCGUACAAAAACUACCAAAAACAUUAUUGUCUACAAAACACUCCUUAGGCAAACUAAAAGUUUAUCCCAAUUUGCAUUUCGUAUUGUAAGGAAAUAUUACUUAUUUCUUUUCCAAUUUGUUGAGAAAUCCUUUUACACAAAAUAUUAAAUGAAAUUGGGCGAAAAAUAAAUACAUAAAUCUUAGAGGAAUAAAGUUCAACUUUCAGUUAAUUAAAAAAAACAUGGUCAGUUGUCAUUGUGACAUAAGUUGACUUGACUUGAUAGUUAGGGAGAUUUAUUUGACUAGUCAAGUUUCCAAUAAAGUUGCCUUAUUUGGAAGGCAAUUUUUUGAUAGCUGGCCAAUCAGAUGCUAGGAACUUGGCUUACUUUCAAAUCAAUUAUUUCACCUGAACCUGCCCCAUGUCUUUUGAUCAACUAACACACGGCACACAAAGUUUAAUAUUUUCGAGAACCUGGUGCCCAACCAAACCUGGCCAAUGGGUUUGAGCAGAUCUAGCAUGUAACAAGCUUAGGCCAAUGGCAGCGCGCUGCAGCGCCAGCGGCAAAGAGAAAUAUAUUUACUAAGAGAUCCAACCGGUACCCGUCUUGCCUGAAACACCCUCAAAUUUAAUACAUGUGAGUGGUGGAAAAAAGGAAAAAUGUCAAAUUGAAUUCUUGUCAAAAAUGACAGUUCCACAAUUUCGAUUUCAAAAACAAAACAUUCAAUUUGAGAUUCUACAAGUAAGUUUUUGUAAAUUAUUUUGUUUUGUCUAAACAUUUAGAAGACUUUAUAUCUUUUCAUAUCAAAAGCCUUAACGAUCAAGAGCUACGAGUGCAUUAAUUAAAAAAACGACAGACCAGGAACCAGAAGAAAACAAUGAGACUUAUUCUACUCGGAGUUCAAGUAGGUACGUUAGAAAAAGAAUCUCCAAAAAUAUGUUUUACGUCCAACUCAAGAAGAUAAUAAAUGAAUAAAAAUCGACUUUAUUAACACUUCCUUAGUGUUCUGCCAUUUGGAGUGCUGCCGAUUACAAACCAUGAUACAGAAAGAAAUUUCUCUAAAGAAAUUCGGAAGGUUUGCUCAAAACAAGGGCACUAGUCCCCAGAUUAAUGUAUUUUAUAUUAUAUUUCUCUUAAUAUAAAUGUUCUUAACCACAGACUUUCACCUUUAUUUGUAAAUAGUUAUUCGAAGCCGGUUAAAGUAAAGUAUACAUAUUAUUCUACACUCAAUUGCAUGAUCGUUGAGAUCUGCCUCAACGGCUAUGGUGGGUGCAGACGUUGACGAUAGAGGUGUCGACGGCUGUGCCAAUAGUAAGAUUCAUCGAAUGCAACAACAACACCAGAAUAACGAAUUCAAUUCCGAAUUAGCUAUGUCACUUUGUAUGACUUUGUGAAAUUCAAUUUAAUGGUGCAAGGGAAAGCUUUGACAUUCAAUAGUCGCUCGCCUAUUUUUGGAAUGACUAAACAGCGGCAACAGCAGCGGCAGAGUAUGCAGGCAAAUCAGGAUUUCCAACUUCCUUUGCCCAUUCAUCAGCUGCCAAGAAGUAUGGUACAAAUUAAAUUAAAUUAAAUUGGGUGGUGCAACAGUCCGUUGAAAUCUAGGGCCUAGUGACUUACAACUCUCAAGUAUUCAUGUGUGCGAGUACCUUCUGUUGUCAGGGAUGGAGGGGACCUACAUUUUUAAAGCCGAAUCCGAACGAAUAAUUUGAGAAAGCACUUUUUCAUGACAAGAAUUACUUUCGGAGAAUUUGUCAAUUUCUCACAAGAGGCAGUACCGAACCCCACACCUCUGGCAUGACAGUCCGACGCAUUAACCUUCAUGCCACGGGUAUUAUGGUACAAGGCGACCAAAUAAUAACAACUCUUGCAGCUGCAACUAAAGCAACAUCUUAUAAUUUCAUAGAACCUCAUAGAGGUUCAGUUGUGUAAGUGCAAAUCGAAGCAAUAAUAUCGUGAUCAAUUUGCUUAAUCUUCACCUUCUGACUGAGUCAUCAGUAACUACGGCCACUUAGGCCGACGCAGACCACGUAGAUGAUAAAAUGCAUGUCGACAUUGACGGGAAUCAAAAAUCAUUGACAGAAAAAAAAGAAGUCGAAUUCCUAAGUACACAAUCCUUAUUGAAUCACCAAAAGAACUAACUGGAAUCAUAUAGAAGACCAUCGACAAAGGAACUGUCCAAAUGAUGUUUUAAGAAAUUUCCGCAACCUUCACCUGCCAAAAAUUUCCUAAAAUAAUAAAAUCGGAAAUUGUGCAUUUGUGCGUUCAUUGACCAUGGGCUCAUGAUAGUAAGACUACUUCAAAGUAAGCUUCACAUAAACCACAAACUUUAAAAGCACUGAUUUUUUUGAGCAACAAAACAAAGCGGUAUUGCAACAAAUCCUGAAAUGAAGAUGAUUCUUGUCGACGACUUGAUUUAAAUCUUAUCCAUUUAUAUUUUAGGUUCGCGGCGCAGCUAGUUUUGAAAUAAAUUUGUUUUUAAAAUUGUAAUUUAGUAUAAUUUUUUUAAAUUCAACGCUAAUAAUGUAUUUUUACUUAAAAAAACAAAAACUGGAUGUUAAAAUGCAAUUUUUUGGUUUUUGAGUAAAUAAAAAAGAUAGCUAUUAAAUGUACUUUAUUCAAAGAAAAAUAUUUUUGUUUGGAUUUCCCAAAUUUGAAUUGCUCAGGUCAAUUUUCAUAGUGGAUUAUACCUUUUUUCUUUUUGUUUCG
Long non-coding RNA from Eupeodes corollae, 4100 nucleotides. RefSeq lists it as uncharacterized. The record is from RefSeq and is a predicted model, not a curated record. Lineage: Eukaryota; Metazoa; Arthropoda; Insecta; Diptera; Syrphidae. The transcript has 3 exons.